UGGCCGAUCGUCUAAUGGUAGGACUACGGGUUUUGGUCUCGUCAGUGGGGGUUCGAAUCCUCCUCGGCCAACAA
RNAcentral lists this transfer RNA (74 nucleotides) under Ignavibacteria bacterium GWB2_35_6b. RNAcentral's name for it is "tRNA-Gln". It matches the Rfam family "tRNA". Rfam says of the family: Transfer RNA (tRNA) molecules are approximately 80 nucleotides in length. Lineage: Bacteria; Pseudomonadati; Ignavibacteriota; Ignavibacteria. The record is from RNAcentral.